This 21-nucleotide non-coding RNA is filed under the name Caenorhabditis elegans. Lineage: Eukaryota; Metazoa; Nematoda; Chromadorea; Rhabditida; Rhabditidae. The record is from RNAcentral.
UCCACACUAGACUAAUCAUAU